ACUCCUACGGGAGGCAGCAGUGGGAAUAUUGGACAAUGGGGCAACCCGUGAUCCAGCGAUGCCGCGUGUGUGAAGAAGGCCUGAGGGUUGUAAAGCACUUUUAGUGGGGAGGAAUGUUGACAGGUUAAGAGCUAGUUAACUUGACGUUACCCACCAUAAACAGCACCGGCUAACUCCGUGCCAGCAGCCGCGGUAAUACGGGGUGGCAAGCAGUAUCGAGUAUUGGCUGUAAAGCGCAUGUAGGCGGCUCUUUAAGUCUGAUGUGAAAGCCUGUGGCUCAACCACAGAAUUGCAUUGGAUACUGGAGAGCUAGAAUCUUGGAGAGGUAAGUGGAAUUUCAUGUGUAGCGGUGGAAUGCGUAGAUAUAUGAAGGAACACCAAUGGCGAAGGCAGCUUACUGGACAAGUAUUGACGCUGAGAUGCGAAAGUGUGGGUAGCAAACAGGAUUAGAUACCCUGGUAGGCUCUG
RNAcentral lists this ribosomal RNA (468 nucleotides) under uncultured bacterium. RNAcentral's name for it is "bacterial SSU rRNA". It matches the Rfam family "Bacterial small subunit ribosomal RNA", at positions 335 to 799 of the family's 1533-position model. The record is from RNAcentral.